Poecilia formosa (Amazon molly) is the source of this 84-nucleotide microRNA precursor. The record is from Ensembl. NCBI's taxonomy places the organism in Eukaryota, Metazoa, Chordata, Actinopteri, Cyprinodontiformes, Poeciliidae.
GCUUGCCACAGUGAACAUUCAACGCUGUCGGUGAGUUUGAGCGUAAUUUAACAAAAACCAUCGACCGUUGACUGUACCCUGCGG